This 445-nucleotide ribosomal RNA is filed under the name uncultured bacterium. RNAcentral describes it as "SSU rRNA". It matches the Rfam family "Bacterial small subunit ribosomal RNA", at positions 26 to 518 of the family's 1533-position model. The record is from RNAcentral.
AGGAUGAACGCUGGCGGUCUGCUUAACACAUGCAAGUCGAACGGGCGUAGCAAUACGUUAGUGGCGGACGGGUGAGUAACGCGUGAGAAUCUACCUUCAGGACGGAGACAACAGUUGGAAACGACUGCUAACCCCCGAUGUACCGAAAGGGCAAAUAUUUAUAGCCUGAAGAAGAGCUCGCGUCCGAUUAGCUAGUUGGAGAGGUAAAAGCUCACCAAGGCGACGAUCGGUAGCUGGUCUGAGAGGACGAUCAGCCACACUGGGACUGAGACACGGCCCAGACUCCUACGGGAGGCAGCAGUGGGAAUUUCGCAAUGGCGAAAGCCUGACGGAGCAAGACCGCGUGGGGAAGAAGGCUCUUGGGUUGUAAACCCCUUUUCUCUGGGAAGAACGCAAUGACGGUACCAGAGGAAUCAGCAUCGGCUAACUCCGUGCCAGCAGCCGC